GUCCCUGUAGCGCAAUGGAUAGCGCGUUGGACUCCUAAUCCAAAGGUCGUGGGUUUGAAUCCAACCAUGGAUG
Trichonephila inaurata madagascariensis is the source of this 73-nucleotide non-coding RNA. The record is from the annotation of a GenBank genome assembly. Lineage: Eukaryota; Metazoa; Arthropoda; Arachnida; Araneae; Nephilidae.